UACAGAGGGUGCAAGCGUUAAUCGGAAUUAUUGGGCGUAAAGCGCACGUAGGUGGUUAAAUCAGUUGGGUGUAAAAUUUCCGGGCUUAACCUGGAGCGGUCACCCAAUACUAUUUAGCUGGAGUAGGGAAGAGGGAAGUGGAAUUCUCGGUGUAGCGGUGAAAUGCGUAGAUAUCGGGAGGAACACCAGUGGCGAAGGCGGCUUCCUGGUCCACUACUGACACUGAGGUGCGAGUGCGUGGGGAGCAAACAGG
This 253-nucleotide ribosomal RNA is filed under the name uncultured bacterium. Its description in RNAcentral is "partial 16S ribosomal RNA". It matches the Rfam family "Bacterial small subunit ribosomal RNA", at positions 524 to 776 of the family's 1533-position model. The record is from RNAcentral.